AUAUUUUUGGUAAUCAGCAGGGUUUUUAGUCG
This 32-nucleotide non-coding RNA is filed under the name Geobacter sulfurreducens PCA. Lineage: Bacteria; Pseudomonadati; Thermodesulfobacteriota; Desulfuromonadia; Geobacterales; Geobacteraceae. The record is from RNAcentral.